Syzygium oleosum is the source of this 2394-nucleotide RNA transcript. RefSeq lists it as uncharacterized. NCBI's taxonomy places the organism in Eukaryota, Viridiplantae, Streptophyta, Magnoliopsida, Myrtales, Myrtaceae. The record is from RefSeq and is a predicted model, not a curated record. The transcript has 21 exons.
UUAUGUGGUUCAGAACUGUGAUAUGACCUUCUCUCUCUUGUAUGUGUCUCUCUGUUUCUCCAGGUUACCUUGUCCGCAUGGAGGCGCUGAUCAAAGCAGCGAUCCCCGCGCCGGUUCAUCUCCCGAACCGCUCGGCAGCGACCCAGAGGCCCCCGAAUCAUGUCUCAGUCCGUCGCUCUCGUUCCAGGAAAAAUGGGGAAGUGAAUGGACUAUAUUGCACUCCCUCACAUAUUGGAUCGGAAAAUCAGGGAGAUGAGCAGAUGACAGAGGAAAUUAGUCAGCCAUCAAAUCUUGAAGCAGAGGGAAAACAUGCCGACAUCUGGCGGCGUUUUAAAGAAGCUCAACAAAAUAUUUUGUAUUUAAACAAACAGCGACUCCUGGUCAUUGAGGAGCUAGAAAAAGUAAACAGAGAGAAACAACUGUUGCUUGGCCAGAUAGAGCAGUUUCAGCUGCGAAAUCAAGCUGCUGAUGGGAGAGCUAAUGGCACUGAUAGGCUAUCAAUUUUGUGGGAGUUGCUGCAUCGAAUAGACUCAAUGGUCCUUACACAAAAGGCCAAUAUUGUGGAGGCAUCCAAUUGGAGGAGGCUAAUCAUGGAUGGCAAAGUUAGUAUAGCUUAUGUCUUCUCUGAUGUCCUGGACCAAAGAGAUUCAGAGCUUCUUGAGAAACUUCGCCAAUUUGCAGAUGGAAGCAAAAGGAAUGGUUUUCACAUUGUUCAGAUAUGCACUGAAAUGGAACCUUUGGUCUAUGUUGGAUCUUUGGCAUCAUAUGUAACAGGGUUGAGCCGUGCACUACAAAGAAAGGGCCACACUGUAGAGGUUAUUUUACCCAAGUAUGCAAGGCUGAACCUUGGAGAGGUUCAAGGGCUAAGAGAAAUCGAGGCAGAGUUCUAUUCAUACUAUAAUGGUCAGCUGCAUGGAAAUAGGAUUUGGACUGGAAUCGUCUGUGGUAUUGGAGUUACUCUCAUCGAGCCUAUAUUUUUCUUGUCCUUUUUUAGCCGUGAGAAGAUAUAUGGCUACUCAGAUGACUUUGAGCGGUUUUCUUAUUUCUCCCGUGCUGCAUUAGAUUAUUUGGUCAAAGCUGGAAAGAAGCCUGAUGUUUUGCAUAUACACAACUGGCAAACUUCUAUUGUAGGGCCUCUUUUCUGGGACAUUUUUGUGAAACAGGGACUUGAAGGUACAAAAAUAUUACUAACUUGCCACGACCUUAAUUCACAGUGUCUUGAGCAACCUCAAAAGCUGGCUCUAAGUGGACUAGAACCUGCUCGUCUUCAUCGCCCAGAUCGUUUCCAAGACAAUGCUAGGGCAUCCCUUGUAAACUUGUUGAAGGGUGGAAUCGUAUACUCGAACAAAGUUUUAAUUGUUUCAUCCAUGCACUCCAAAGGAAGGAUAAUCCGUAAUUUUGGUUAUGGUUUGGAGCCCACCUUGGCAACUCACAAGGACAAGUUGCUAAUCGCUCCCAGUGGGUUUGACAACUCCACAUGGGAUCCUUUCCAGGACAAAUUUCUUCCCAAAAACUACAGUGCAGAUGACUUGGAGGGUAAAGCAAUUUGCAAAGUUGCAUUGCAGCAGCAUGUGGGUUUGCCUAAGGAUGCUUCUGUUGCACUCGUUGGAUGGAUCUACCAAGAAGUAUCAGAUAUUGACCAAAAGACACUAAAAACUGUUGUCCAGAGCAUCACACAUGGGGGUGGCCAGCUUAUCUUGGCAAGGAUAGACAAGUUGACAAAUCUGGAUAGGGCCUCUGAAUCUUUCGUGAAAGAUCUGAAGGUAUUGGCGGGAACGGAUGAAAACGUGAGAUUCAUAGACAGAUACGAUGAAGCUCUGUCCCACUUGAUAUUUGCUGGUUCUGACAUUAUCUUGUGUCAGUCUUUUGAGGAUCCUACACUACAAGUGCCGAUGAAGGCAUUGAAAUAUGGAGCUGCUCCAGUCGCAAUGUCUUCUUCUGAUGAUAGAUCCAGGCACAUUGUUGAUCCCGACCAUGAUUUCUCAGAGUACUCACAGUUCAUGAAGUCCACAUUUGAGAAUAUAUCUCUCAACAAAGCCCUAGAGGAAAUGAGGAGUAAUCCUUCCAAAUGGAAGCGAAAGAUGGCGGAUGCAAUGGACAAGGACUUCUCCUGGGAUGCAGAAACAUGCGACAUACAUAUCUCUGCUUAUGCAGCUUUACAGAACUUGUAGAGUAGUUGUAACACUAUGAGCAGGUGUAUAACUGUAUAUAUAGCCGUCGAUCAUAGUACUAGAUAACCGCUAGAAAGCCGCUUUAUGAUCGGGGAAUCCUUCGGAGAGUGCCUGCAAAUUGGCCCGAUGCCCGGUUGCUAAGAAGAAUUAUACGAUAAAAACAGGCAUCAUUUACAGGCCAUAAAGGCUUUAUGUAGUGUAAUUCUUUGUUUCAAGGUAUCUA